GGCCAGACUCCUACGGGAGGCAGCAGUGGGGAAUAUUGCACAAUGGGGGAAACCCUGAUGCAGCGACGCCGCGUGAGUGAAGAAGUAUUUCGGUAUGUAAAGCUCUAUCAGCAGGGAAGAAAAUGACGGUACCUGACUAAGAAGCCCCGGCUAACUACGUGCCAGCAGCCGCGGUAAUACGUAGGGGGCAAGCGUUAUCCGGAUUUACUGGGUGUAAAGGGAGCGUAGACGGCAUGGCAAGUCAGAUGUGAAAGCCCGGGGCUCAACCCCGGGACUGCAUUUGAAACUGUCAGGCUGGAGUGCAGGAGAGGUAAGUGGAAUUCCUAGUGUAGCGGUGAAAUGCGUAGAUAUUAGGAGGAACACCAGUGGCGAAGGCGGCUUACUGGACUGUAACUGACGUUGAGGCUCGAAAGCGUGGGGAGCAAACAGGAUUAGAUACCCUAGUACGU
RNAcentral lists this ribosomal RNA (449 nucleotides) under uncultured bacterium. RNAcentral's name for it is "bacterial SSU rRNA". It matches the Rfam family "Bacterial small subunit ribosomal RNA", at positions 329 to 794 of the family's 1533-position model. The record is from RNAcentral.